AAUUUAAAUUUGUGAAACUUCAGUUACUAGAGAGCUAUAUAUACUGUGCCUUGUUUUAGAGCGUGGAGAUGACAAAUUACACUUGCAUUUCACUUAACAGGAUUCAACUAUAUGUGUCCAGAAAAAGGAAAGAUGAAGUGAAAGAAUGAAGAAAAAAAUGCUCAUUUCACAUUCCCUGGAGUCAGGACACAAGUCCCAGGCCAGCUGCCGCCUCACUCGACCACUUGGACUACCAGAUGUCAGGCUGCCCUUUGUGGACUUCUCACUUGGCAACCUCUCCUUUUCCUUUUCUUCUCACGUUGGACACUGCCUUCCUUUUCUUCACCCCCUUCUCAUGGCACCAAGUGGUUCAACUCCAUUGUUUUGGAACAAGGAAAAGAGAAACAAGAAGAUCAAAUAAAUGUAUCACCCCAAUUCACUGGAAGAGUCUGUAAAUGAGCAAAAUUAAAACAAUUUCUCUGUAGCCAGCACCACAGCAGGAGCUGGGCUCUCUGACACAUGUGAAACACUCUUUCUGUGUGUAAAUAUUUUCAAAUUGCCUUUUUAAAGAAAAGAGGAAGCCCAGGCAGAGUCAUACAUAGCCCAGAUGUAUCGGAUCAGAAGAAUGAAAGUGCAAAAGGUCAGAGACUA
This 630-nucleotide long non-coding RNA is filed under the name Piliocolobus tephrosceles (Ugandan red Colobus). Its description in RNAcentral is "lncRNA (ENSPTEG00000025387.1)". Lineage: Eukaryota; Metazoa; Chordata; Mammalia; Primates; Cercopithecidae. The record is from RNAcentral.